GGCUUUUAUUUCAGAGGGGAUUUUCCCUUGGUCCAUUGCCAUGCACCACUGCUUGUACAUUUCAAGCUCUUCUCUGAGAGCACAGAUGGCUCGCUCUCGGCUUGAAACCAGCUCUUCCAGGUACUGGUACCUCAGCUUCUUCCUGGCUCUACACUCUCUUGCACUCUGACGACUUCUUUCAAGUUUUGCCUUCAAGUCUAUUUUGGCUGGUUUACGACCUCGCUUUCCUGGUUUCUUUACUUUGCCUCCAACCACCUUACUGUCAUCCAUGUGCCCCGCCAGCCCCCGCAGACCCACGCAGAGUGCACAGAAGCCGCCUGCCCGCAGCCCCGACGCUCACUGUCCCACAGCCGCCGCCAUCGCGCUCCGCG
This 371-nucleotide long non-coding RNA is filed under the name Gallus gallus (chicken). Lineage: Eukaryota; Metazoa; Chordata; Aves; Galliformes; Phasianidae. The record is from RNAcentral.